AAAAAAGGAAUAACACAUUAGUCGUUCUUAUGUACUUCUGUAGGAAAGGGUAAAAACUCAAACCCUAGUGCCUUUUUUUUUUCUUCGGUACGGGAAAGGCGAAGUGACGGAGAGAACGACUAUAAUCGAAAUAAUCGUCAAAAUCAAAGGAAUCGACAUGAGCGAGUGGAACAGCCGACGAAGAACAACUCAGACCUCCAUUAAUUGUGUUAUAUUUUCUGAAGUCAUUGAAUUUCAAACCUAUUUCAUCAGAUAUAUAUCAGUUGACAUGAAGCAGUUUUAAAUCUAUCUUUCAAGAUUUUAGAGAUUUCAAUUCAUUGAAUAGUGUCUGCAGCAGUAACAUAUUCAACUCAAGGCUUGCAAUGUGCAUCUACAAGUCAACAUUUGGAGAGUAGAUUGGUUGCUUUGACUUUAGUCAAGCCAGAAAAGAUCUCCUUGAUAUAUUUAUAUUUACUACCCUUCUGACAACUUCAAGAGAUAGAAUGCUUUUCUCGAGUCCAAGGGCGAUUUCGUCACUUUCGAACAGUUGGUGGAUACUUUAAGACCACAUUAUCUCGUUUUCAGUAAUUCUGAAAGUCCCACAGGUUGUUUCCUUUCUAUUUGUUAGUUGGAUUUGAUAAUGGUGAUGACAACUUGUAAUAAACUGGAGAAUCUUGGUUAGUAUGUUGAUCAGGUCUUUGUAGUUUGACCAGUUGACUUUGUUCUCUCAGAGCAAGUUACUGUGGUUCACUUCUGUUAUGUUCUUGUAAAGAGAGUUGCUUCAACUUUGUUAAUGGUGGAUGCAUGAAUCAACUGUGUGACAUUUUCUCAAAGCUUCUUGGAGUUAUAGAUUCAGCAGAAAUUGAUGAAUUAAUUUCAGUUCAAUAGUUGAAUAUUGCUUGUUCUUGGUGAAACAGAUGGUUUGUUUAUUGUCAUACAAAGCUACUAUUUAGUUCAUCAAAUUGUUGGUUUCUAAAUUGGGAUAUACUAACACCUCCUUUUUCUUCUUAAGGCAUGUUUUUAUUAAUCUUUUUUUUAUCGUUAUAUUUCAAGAUUUUAGUAAUUUUGCCAUACAGGAAAGUGGUUUUCUUCGUUCUAUCAUCUUCUAUACACUGUUAUGACAUCUUUAUUUGUUUAUUAACCAGGGUUAAUGUUUGUUGUGAGCUCUCAACUACGGUUGUUCUUGCGAUCUGCUUCGAGGGUACAAGAGUCAAUUCCUCUUCGUUAUGCAUCUCCAAAGGCUUUAUUUUUGUAGUCCACGUGAAAUUGGAGUAGUUUUGAAGACACAUUUGAGAGUGGUUAGCAUAAUAUUUGAAUGUGAUAGAUCGUCUGACUACAUCAUUCUGAAGAACAUGUAUUUGGGUUUAUGGGAGCUCUGUUGUCUUUCUAGGUCUGAUUGUGGAUGUUAGGCUUUGUUGGCCAUAGGACAUUUUCCAGAGGUUGUUUCGGGUUCUGAUUGUUGCGUUACAUUCUGUCAAAGAAUUGAACCGGUAUUUGGCGGCUGUUGCCAUGCCAAAAUCUAGGAAAGACAAGCUGGUUGCACAAGCGAUACGUAAACUCAAGAUGCGUGCAAAAUGGUAAAUGAUAUUAGAGAUUUUCUUGAGAAAAAGAGUAAAUUACUAAAAUCAUCCCUAUGGUUUGGCAAAAUUGCACGUUUGGUCCCUAACCUUUUUUUUGCACUCGGAUCGUCCCUAUGGUUUGAUUUUGUUACUAAAAUCGUCCCUAUGGUUUGGUCAAAAUUGCAUGUUUGGUCCCUAACUUUAUGUAUGUAAGGGACGAAAAACGCAACAAAAUCAAACCACAGGGACGAUCCGAGUGCAAAAAAAAAGUUAGGGACCAAACGUGCAAUUUUGACCAAACCAUAGGGACGAUUUCAGUAAUUUACUCUGAGAAAAAUGACUUCAUGUAGGUAAAGUAAAACCAUUUUGUUAUUUUCUUUUUUCUUUUUUAUGGCUAAUUAUUAUUUGUUAUUGAAGUUUGAAAUUUCGAUGAUGGAGUUGAUAACCGUUGGGGAUCUAAAAAAGCUUGUUGAUGGUGGAGUGAAGUGUGGAUUUGAGUUUGUAAAAGUGAUUACGACCGAAGGGAUUGAUUGGACAAAUAUUACCUGUGGAUUUUAUAUGGUUGAUGCUGACUAUGGUAACUUUAUGGAGAUAGACUGAAAAAUUGUUAAGUGAUAAGUUAUAUAUCUUUAUUAGUACAAGGAUGAUUUAUUAUGUGCUUAGUCCAAACUAAAACUUAUUUGAGUUUUGAUUCUUGAAUCAAGGUUUCUUAUGGAUUUUUACCAUGUUUUGGUGAAACCUAUUGAGUUUUGAUUCUUGAAUUUGUUUGUGACUAUAUGUGUUUAUUUUGGACUAAACACAUAACAAAUCAUCUGUGUACUAAUAAAUAUAUAUAACUUACUACUUAACAAUUCUUUAGUUGUAUAUCAUCUCCAUGCACUUACCAUAGUCAGCAUCAACCAUCUAAAAUUCAUAUGUAGUAUUUGUCAAAUCAAUCUUGGUCCUAAUGUUUUUUACAAACUCAAAUGCACGCUUCACUUAACCAUCAACAAGUUUGUUUAGAUUCCCAGUAGUAAUCAAUUCCAUCAUCGGAAUUUUAAACUUCAGUAGCAAAUAAUAAUUAGCCAUAGAGAAAAAAGAAAAUAAAAAACGGCUUUAUUUUAUCUCUAUGAAUUCACGUUUCUCAAGAAAAUCUCUAAUGUGAUUUGCCAUUUUUGAUCGCAUCUUGAGUUUAUGUAUCACUUUUGAAACCACAGAUUGUCUUUCCUAGAAUAAAAAAUUUAAGGUAAUGACAUUGAAUA
Molecule: non-coding RNA, 2779 nt
Organism: Lactuca sativa (garden lettuce)
Lineage: Eukaryota; Viridiplantae; Streptophyta; Magnoliopsida; Asterales; Asteraceae
Source: RefSeq, a predicted model, not a curated record